Malus domestica (apple) is the source of this 1259-nucleotide long non-coding RNA. RefSeq lists it as uncharacterized. Lineage: Eukaryota; Viridiplantae; Streptophyta; Magnoliopsida; Rosales; Rosaceae. The record is from RefSeq and is a predicted model, not a curated record.
AGCAACUAACAAAAGCUGCUAAGCAGCUGCAGCAGAGGGGGUUUUUUUUUUAUUUCUUCCUUUUAAUUCACCGAACGUUCCAAAAAGCGGCGCCGACCAACCAUGGCGGCAACUAGCAAAAAGCGAAAGGUCUCACCUUUGAACGAAUGCGGUUUCGACGUCCAUACACGCCCUAAUUUUGUGGCCGACGGAGUGUUGUUCGCGGAGCCGAACGAGGUGCUGACCGGAUAUCUGGCGUAGGAUGGCUACUCCGGCGUUGAAGUUAGGGUUACGCCGGUGUUGACCGAAAUCAUCGUCCGAGCCACUUGGACUCAAAACGUUCUCGGUGAGAAAGGAAGAAGAAUAUAAGAACUGGCAUCUGUUGUUCAGAAGCGUUUUAAGUUUUCGAGAACAGUGUUGAUCUUUAAGCAGAGAAAGUCAACAACUGAGGGCUCUGUGCCGUUGCUCAGGCAGUCUUUGGGUUACAAGCUUCUAGGAGGGUUUGCUGUCCGGAGGACAUGCUAUGGCGUUUGUAGAUUUGUCAUGGAAAGUGGUGCAAAGGGAUGCAAGGUGCGAAUGAAAGCUGUUCUUUCCACUUGACCUUAUUAGGCUGCACCAACAUAGUACAAUGAAUCUUUCUACUCUACAACCUGUGGGUCAUUGUUAGUGGCAAAAUCAGGGCUCAGCGUGCCAAGUCUAUGAAAUUCAAGGAUGGAUACAUGAUAUCCUCUGGCCAGCCUGUAAAGGAAUAUAUCGAUGCUGCUGUGCCGCAUGUGCUUCUUAGACAGGUGUUCUUGGGAUUAAGGUCAAAAUCACUCUCGAUUGGGAUCCCAAGGGUAAGCAAGGCUCCAAAACACCCCUACCUGAUCUGGUCACCAUCCACCAACCCAAAGAGGACGACAUCAGAUCAGGCCCCCCGUUGUGGCAACCGAAAGUCUGAAAUACCAGUUGGCCUUGUCGCUGCUUAGAGUUGUUUUAACGCAUGCUCAUACCAUUUUUUUUAGUCAAUAUACUAAUUUCUCAUAUUCCGCAUAAUCUCAUUUCUAGUUGGAUGCCUGUUAGUACCCGAUUGGAAUAUGAGAAUGAGAUUAUGUCUUUAGAAUUGUAAUUUUCUUAGCCAGCAAAUAGAAAAAGCAACUCAUGCUCUGUAUGUUACCCGCGUUUGUGUCCUCCCGACUUUUGCUGUUGGAAUCUUAACUUCGUAUGGGAAAUAGUAUUGGGCUGCCUCCCUUUGUAUUUACUCUUAUGGUUAAAAUUCAAAUUCAAAGAUAAUUCUUCUA